Non-coding RNA from Vicia faba (fava bean), 273 nucleotides. The record is from the annotation of a GenBank genome assembly. Lineage: Eukaryota; Viridiplantae; Streptophyta; Magnoliopsida; Fabales; Fabaceae.
AUGUUGAACAAUCCUACUGCUAGCUUCGGCGCAGAAUGCAGGAAAACUUUAGAACCUCGACUUGCACCCGCUACCGGGGGAGAUCCCAUUUGGAGACUCAAAGAUGAAAAAUAUUCCUCUAUAGGAAAGCCAACAUACCCUCUGUCCCGUAAAUUGAUUCAUGGGGACAUAUGUGGAGAUCUGAGACAGAGAUGGAAAAUAGAUUUGAGGGCUGAGAACAUAAUAGAGACUUAUCCCCCACUCCGCCCCAUUGACAUUCAAAGGGCAAAUUGA